RNAcentral lists this ribosomal RNA (465 nucleotides) under uncultured Klebsiella sp. RNAcentral's name for it is "bacterial SSU rRNA". It matches the Rfam family "Bacterial small subunit ribosomal RNA", at positions 338 to 795 of the family's 1533-position model. The record is from RNAcentral. Lineage: Bacteria; Pseudomonadati; Pseudomonadota; Gammaproteobacteria; Enterobacterales; Enterobacteriaceae.
CCUACGGGGGGCUGCAGUGGGGAAUAUUGCACAAUGGGCGCAAGCCUGAUGCAGCCAUGCCGCGUGUGUGAAGAAGGCCUUCGGGUUGUAAAACACUUUCAGCGGGGAGGAAGGCGGUGAGGUUAAUAACCUCAUCGAUUGACGUUACCCGCAGAAGAAGCACCGGCUAACUCCGUGCCAGCAGCCGCGGUAAUACGGAGGGUGCAAGCGUUAAUCGGAAUUACUGGGCGUAAAGCGCACGCAGGCGGUCUGUCAAGUCGGAUGUGAAAUCCCCGGGCUCAACCUGGGAACUGCAUUCGAAACUGGCAGGCUAGAGUCUUGUAGAGGGGGGUAGAAUUCCAGGUGUAGCGGUGAAAUGCGUAGAGAUCUGGAGGAAUACCGGUGGCGAAGGCGGCCCCCUGGACAAAGACUGACGCUCAGGUGCGAAAGCGUGGGGAGCAAACAGGAUUAGAUACCCCAGUAGUC